This 764-nucleotide ribosomal RNA is filed under the name Amycolatopsis sp. R8-21. RNAcentral's name for it is "bacterial SSU rRNA". It matches the Rfam family "Bacterial small subunit ribosomal RNA", at positions 41 to 820 of the family's 1533-position model. The record is from RNAcentral. Lineage: Bacteria; Bacillati; Actinomycetota; Actinomycetes; Pseudonocardiales; Pseudonocardiaceae.
UGCGUGCUUAACACAUGCAAGUCGAACGCUGAAGCCACUUCGGUGGUGGAUGAGUGGCGAACGGGUGAGUAACACGUGGGUAAUCUGUCCUGCACUCUGGGAUAAGCCCUGGAAACGGGGUCUAAUACCGGAUAUGACUUCGCACCGCAUGGUGUGGGGUGGAAAGUUCCGGCGGUGCAGGGUGAGCCCGCGGCCUAUCAGCUUGUUGGUGGGGUGAUGGCCUACCAAGGCGACGACGGGUAGCCGGCCUGAGAGGGUGACCGGCCACACUGGGACUGAGACACGGCCCAGACUCCUACGGGAGGCAGCAGUGGGGAAUAUUGCACAAUGGGCGCAAGCCUGAUGCAGCGACGCCGCGUGAGGGAUGACGGCCUUCGGGUUGUAAACCUCUUUCGCCAGGGACGAAGCGCAAGUGACGGUACCUGGAGAAGAAGCACCGGCUAACUACGUGCCAGCAGCCGCGGUAAUACGUAGGGUGCGAGCGUUGUCCGGAAUUAUUGGGCGUAAAGAGCUCGUAGGCGGUUUGUUGCGUCGGCCGUGAAAACUGGAGGCUUAACCUUCAGCUUGCGGUCGAUACGGGCAGACUUGAGUUCGGUAGGGGAGACUGGAAUUCCUGGUGUAGCGGUGAAAUGCGCAGAUAUCAGGAGGAACACCGGUGGCGAAGGCGGGUCUCUGGGCCGAUACUGACGCUGAGGAGCGAAAGCGUGGGGAGCGAACAGGAUUAGAUACCCUGGUAGUCCACGCUGUAAACGUUGGGCGCUAGG